Molecule: non-coding RNA, 1059 nt
Organism: Coffea arabica (coffee)
Lineage: Eukaryota; Viridiplantae; Streptophyta; Magnoliopsida; Gentianales; Rubiaceae
Source: RefSeq, a predicted model, not a curated record
UUAUCGUUGGAUUCUUUUCACGCACUCACACACUAGUACUGUCUCUCUUCUCACUCACAUCAGAUUACACCAAUUAACGAACAAAACCCCCCAACUGUACUCUGUUUCUUUCUCGCACCACCAGCAGCAGCCGUCGCCGCCGCCACUGCCGCCGCCGCUUUCAAUCUCUUCGACUUUCUCUUCGUGCUAUCCCCUCCCAAAGACCUUUUUUAAUUGGGCCAUUGCCAAGAAGUCAAAUGCACUUGGCCAAAACAUGGUGAUGGGUCCUUCGGGAUGGACUUCAGCGAAAAGAAAUGACACGAAAAAGGGUCGAAGGUCCAGUGAACAAGCCCAACUUACACCGCACUACAUAUACCCAUAAGUUCCUAGUGUUCGCCGGCGGUUACAGCUCACCAGAAAUCCACCGGAAUUUUUAGUGACAGUCUUCUUCCACCGUUUCUGUGGUCACUUCUGCUGGUUAAUUUCAAAAACACAGAGUUUUGGCAGGGAGACAUGGGAUUCGGAAAUAGAGGGGUUGUUGGUGAUAAAUGGUCUUCAAGGAUUCUUUGGGUCUGUGCAAUCGGAAGUGCAAUCGGCCUCUAUAUGGUAGCCGUAGAAAGGCAAGCACAGAACAGGGAGAAAAUGAUGGCUGAAGCUUUGGGCGGUGCAGGGUCAGGUGCAGACAAGGGUCAAGAAAUCUAAUUGUAGCUUUUCAAAUUCUCCGUGAUUUUAUUGUAAGCUUAAGAGCACUGCAGGAUGUUUCCAUUGGUUAGUUUUAAUAAAUGAUUUACUUGUUCUUUUGGAGUAAUAUAGUGGGUUUAGACUUUAGAUGUUUGGUUGCUUUGGCAUGCUUGAAACAUGCGCAUAACAUAACUGUGACUGGGUCGUAGAGGUUGGUGCUUUAUAGUCAAUUUCAACCAAUUUCUGUAAGCUUUUACAAAACGUGUUAAACAUUUAGUAUACAACAAAAUUAUUCAGUGUUUAGGGACUGCAGAGUGUAUGUGUAUUGGCCUGUCCUUAAUUGUCUUAUGUUAGAAUAGAGCUAACAUUGAAAGAAAUAUUCAAGCUCUUGUUCUGAAA